AACGAACGCUGGCGGCAUGCCUAACACAUGCAAGUCGAACGAAACCUUCGUGUCUAUUUGCGCACGUGUGCGUACCACGUGGUAACCUGCCCUUAGGUUCGCAAUCACUCCCCGAAGGAGAUGCUAAUACCGCUUAAUCUCUUCCCACCAAAGAUUUAUCGCUUUUGGAUGGGGCCUCGUUAGAUUCGCGAGUUGGUAGGGUACAAGCCUACCAAGGCGUCGAUCCAUAGCUGGUCUGAGAGGAUGAUCAGCAACACUGGGACUGAGACACGGCCCAGACUGCGACGGGAGGGAGGAGAGGGGAAUAUUGGACAAGGGGGGAAAGUCUGAUCCAGCAAUGUCGGGGGAGAGAUGAAGGCGGUAGGGUAGUAAAGCUCCUUGAGCCGGGAUGAUAAUGACAGUACCGGGAGAAUAAGCGCCGGCUAACUACGUG
This 433-nucleotide ribosomal RNA is filed under the name uncultured bacterium. RNAcentral's name for it is "partial 16S ribosomal RNA". It matches the Rfam family "Bacterial small subunit ribosomal RNA", at positions 29 to 507 of the family's 1533-position model. The record is from RNAcentral.